Molecule: long non-coding RNA, 1158 nt
Filed under: Ananas comosus (pineapple)
Lineage: Eukaryota; Viridiplantae; Streptophyta; Magnoliopsida; Poales; Bromeliaceae
Description: long non-coding RNA (ACOM_LNC001526)
Source: RNAcentral
UAUCGAAACAAUAUAUGGAUCAUUUCGAAUUUUCGAUCUUUUAAAAAUUCAAUUUUACUACUCAACUUUUAAAUUCGUUUGAUUUGAGAAAGUCAACCUAAGCUAAUCAACGGCAUAUCGACUUCAAAACUCAAGCUAAUUCGUUACUUUAAUAUAUUUAUAUUGUGAGAAUUGUAUGAAGGAUACUAAUUAAACCCAUAAUGAUAAACGACGUAUUCAAAUGUUGAAGUCAAAGUGUUAUAGGCCGACUCAAAUCAAACGAAUUGAAGGGCUGAGUAAUAAAAUAAAAAUUUUGAAAAGUUGGAAAGUCGAUUCAAAAUGAUUUAUAGUUCAGAUAAAUUCGGUAUGUUUUUACAAAUGAAAAAUUAUUGCUUGUAGCUAGUUUAUCUAUUAGUUUGUACACUACAAAUUAUUCUUUUUUUUUUAAUUCAUCUCAUAUUUUUAAUCGAGAGAUCUUAUUUUUACAUUGUAGCUCAAAGGAUAAUAAGAUUAAAAUAUCUGACCAAAAAAAAUAGUCCAUAAAUAAUUAAAUAAUAUAUCUAAGGAUUCAAAUGCAAUUCACCCAUUAUAUAUAGAGAGAGAUAGAGAGAGAGUUUUGCUAGAAUACUAUCGGUAGUAAACGGCUCAGUUUAAUACCAAUUUGUUUUCGAUGAUAGAGAUUUCAAAUUGACAAUCGACACUGUUAAACAUGAUCUAAACCAUUUAAACUAUCUGGAAAUUAAAUUUCACGUUUUUUCGAUAGUAUUCUCUUGUCCAUCAAGUGAAAAAAAAAUGAAUGGCUGAAAAUGAAUAUUUUUCAAAAAAAUGAUGGUAUUUAAGAUCACUCUCUCAAACUUUUUUUUAUAUUUAAGAUCUAUACUCAGAUCUUGUUUUAAAUAGUUUUAAAAAAAUUUUAAUAAAAAUUUAGUUGAUGUGAACUUUUCUAUAUCGUUAAACGAGUAGCUAUUAAAAUUACAAACUUUUUGUGACUCUUUGAUCGUUCGAUUAGUAAUGUCAAAAAAAUAUAAAAUUUGAUUUGAGAUAAUUUAAAUGGUCUAUAUAUAUAUUUAACGGUGCUGACAAUCGAUUUGCAAGAUCUUUCAUCGAAAAUAAAUCGAUAGUAAACCGAACCAUUUACUGUCGAUAGUAGUCUCGUCAAGCGCGCGCGCUCUCUCUCUC